AGCGAACGCUGGCGGCAGGCCUAACACAUGCAAGUCGAACGAACCUUUCGGGGUUAGUGGCGUCUGGGUUUGUCACACGUCGGAACGUUCCUAUAUGGUCGGAAUAACUCAGGGACACUUGUGCUAAUACCGAAUGUGCCCUUAUGCGGGAUGAUUUAUCGUCCUUAGUGCGGCAGGCGUCUGAUUAGCUAGUUGGUUGAGUUAAUGGCUCACCAACGCGACGAUCAGUAGCUGGUCUGUGAGGGUCAUCAGCGACAUCGGAAGUGGGCCGCGGCACAGAAUCCUACGGGAGGCAGCAGUGGGUAAUCUUGCGAAAUGGGCGAAAGCCUGACGCACCCAUGCCGCGUGAAUGAUGUAGGUCUUAGGAUUGUAAUAUUCUUUCACCGGGGACGAUAAUGACGGUACCCGGAGAAGAAGCCCCGGCUAACUUCGUG
RNAcentral lists this ribosomal RNA (434 nucleotides) under uncultured bacterium. RNAcentral describes it as "partial 16S ribosomal RNA". It matches the Rfam family "Bacterial small subunit ribosomal RNA", at positions 29 to 507 of the family's 1533-position model. The record is from RNAcentral.